Caenorhabditis elegans is the source of this 145-nucleotide non-coding RNA. The record is from Ensembl. NCBI's taxonomy places the organism in Eukaryota, Metazoa, Nematoda, Chromadorea, Rhabditida, Rhabditidae.
AACCAUCAAUUAGUCACACCACACCGUGAACGCCGAUAGAUUCGGCCCACCGAUUUCUUGGCCCCCCUUGUCUUGUCUACCACGCGUAUGUUGAUGGUGUCGAGGCACGUUGGCCUGGUUAUGUUUUCGAGAUAAGUGUGGAUAU